AGAGUUUGAUCAUGGCUCAGAACGUACGCUGGCGGCACGCCUAACACAUGCAAGUCGAACGAAGUAGCAAUACUUAGUGGCAGACGGGUGAGUAACAUGUAGGUAUCUGCCCUUUGGCCUGGAAUAACACGAGGAAACUUGUGCUAAUACCGGAUAAGUCUUUACGGAGAAAGCUUUAUGCACCAUUGGAUGAGCCUGCACUUGAUUAGUUUGUUGGUGGGGUAAUGGCCUACCAAGACUGUGAUCAAUAGCUGAUUUGAGAGGAUGAUCAGCCACAUUGGGACUGAGACACGGCCCAAACUCCUACGGGAGGCAGCAGUGGGGAAUCUUGCACAAUGGAGGAAACUCUGAUGCAGCGAUGCCGCGUGAGUGAAGAAGGCCUUUGGGUUGUAAAGCUCUUUCGUCGGGGAAGAAAAUGACUGUACCCGAAUAAGAAGGUCCGGCUAACUUCGUGCCAGCAGCCGCGGUAAUACGAAGGGACCUAGCGUAGUUCGGAAUUACUGGGCUUAAAGAGUUCGUAGGUGGUUGAAAAAGUUGGUGGUGAAAUCCCAGAGCUUAACUCUGGAACUGCCAUCAAAACUUUUCAGCUAGAGUAUGAUAGAGGAAAGCAGAAUUUCUAGUGUAGAGGUGAAAUUCGUAGAUAUUAGAAAGAAUACCAAUUGCGAAGGCAGCUUUCUGGAUCAUUACUGACACUGAGGAACGAAAGCAUGGGUAGCGAAGAGGAUUAGAUACCCUCGUAGUCCAUGCCGUAAACGAUGUGUGUUAGACGUUGGAAAUUUAUUUUCAGUGUCGCAGCGAAAGCGAUAAACACACCGCCUGGGGAGUACGACCGCAAGGUUAAAACUCAAAUGAAUUGACGGGGACCCGCACAAGUAGUGGAGCAUGUGGUUUAAUUCGAAGAUACGCGCAGAACCUUACCAACACUUGACAUGUUCGUCGCGACUCUAAGAGAUUAGAGUUUUCGGUUCGGCCGGACGAAACACAGGUGCUGCAUGGCUGUCGUCAGCUCGUGUCGUGAGAUGUUGGGUUAAGUCCCGCAACGAGCGCAACCCUCACUUUUAGUUGCCAUCAUUAAGUUGGGCACUCUGAAAGAACUGCCAGUGAUAAGCUGGAGGAAGGUGGGGAUGACGUCAAGUCCUCAUGGCCCUUACGUGUUGGGCUACACACGUGCUACAAUGGUAUCUACAACAGGAAGCAAGACUGCGAAGUUAAGCAAAUCCCUAAAAGAUACCUCAGUUCGGAUUGCACUCUGCAACUCGAGUGCAUGAAGCUGGAAUUACUAGUAAUCGUGGAUCAGCGUGCCACGGUGAAUGCGUUCCCGGGUCUUGUACACACCGCCCGUCACACCAUGGGAGUUGGUUCUACCUUAAGGCAAGGUUUUAAACCCUUGACCACGGUAUAGUCAGCGACUGGGGUGAAGUCGUAACAAGGUA
Molecule: ribosomal RNA, 1433 nt
Filed under: uncultured bacterium
Lineage: Bacteria
Description: bacterial SSU rRNA
Rfam family: Bacterial small subunit ribosomal RNA
Source: RNAcentral